Molecule: ribosomal RNA, 509 nt
Filed under: uncultured bacterium
Lineage: Bacteria
Description: partial 16S ribosomal RNA
Rfam family: Bacterial small subunit ribosomal RNA
Source: RNAcentral
GACGAACGCUGGCGGCGUGCUUAACACAUGCAAGUCGAACGGAAAGGCCCUGCUUUUGUGGGGUGCUCGAGUGGCGAACGGGUGAGUAACACGUGAGUAACCUGCCCUUGACUUUGGGAUAACUUCAGGAAACUGGGGCUAAUACCGGAUAGGAGCUCCUGCUGCAUGGUGGGGGUUGGAAAGUUUCGGCGGUUGGGGAUGGACUCGCGGCUUAUCAGCUUGUUGGUGGGGUAGUGGCUUACCAAGGCUUUGACGGGUAGCCGGCCUGAGAGGGUGACCGGACACAUUGGUAGGGGGAGCGGUCGCAGGGUCAGAGAGGAGGGGGCAGUGGAGAAUAUGGAACGCGGGGGGGAAGUAGGAGGCAGCUGGGCUGGGGGGGGGCGGACUGGCUUCGGUUUGUAACCCGCGUGCGCCUGUGAGGAAGCGUGAGUGGGGGGGAUGGGUAGAGAAGCACCGACUAACUACGUGCCAGCAGCCGCGAUAACAAUAGGAAGAGCACACGCCUGACC